UGGGCUUGCUGGAUGAGUGAUCGGCAAUUCCCUGACUUUAGUUCACUCACAUUUGGAGUUAAAUAUGUCUUUAAGCGCUGCUGAAAAAGCAAAAAUCGUUGCUGACUUCGCUGUUAAGCA
Rheinheimera nanhaiensis E407-8 is the source of this 120-nucleotide regulatory RNA element. It matches the Rfam family "Ribosomal S15 leader". Rfam says of the family: The E. coli Ribosomal S15 gene 5' UTR can form two alternative structures. One that is a series of three hairpins, The other includes a pseudoknot. NCBI's taxonomy places the organism in Bacteria, Pseudomonadati, Pseudomonadota, Gammaproteobacteria, Chromatiales, Chromatiaceae. The record is from Rfam.